Zalophus californianus (California sea lion) is the source of this 396-nucleotide long non-coding RNA. RefSeq lists it as uncharacterized. NCBI's taxonomy places the organism in Eukaryota, Metazoa, Chordata, Mammalia, Carnivora, Otariidae. The transcript has 3 exons. The record is from RefSeq and is a predicted model, not a curated record.
GGCUUCCUAGGUGAGAGGGAGUGGCACUGGGGACCUGCCUGGCUCCUAAAGGAAGUUUCAGGUUCGCUCGCUGUGCUUAGCCUUGGAUUGUAGAUGGGAGGGAACCGACUACAAAGAGAAAGACCAACAUCUAUUGAUGCCUUCCCCUUACCGAGCACCUUGCUAGGAACUGUGAAGAAGACGGCCUUCAUACAGACACAAAAAGAAAUCAACUUUUACACCACAGUGCAAUUAAGUGUUAUGUUAGAGAAACGCACCAGCUUAGGUAGUGAUCUCAGGGUCGUGGGAUCGGAUCAUGGGAUCAGGUCGACGGAUGGGCCUCUGCAUCAGGUUCUGCACUCGACAUGGAGUCAGCUUGUCCCUCUCUCUCUGCUUCUCCCCCUGCUCUCUCUCUCU